UCUACGGGUGGCAGCAGUGGGGAAUAUUGGACAAUGGGCGAAAGCCUGAUCCAGCCAUGCCGCGUGCGUGAAGAAGGCCUUCGGGUUGUAAAGCACUUUCAGUGGGGAAGAAAGCCUUGGGGCUAAUACCCUCGAGGAAGGACAUCACCCACAGAAGAAGCACCGGCUAACUCCGUGCCAGCAGCCGCGGUAAUACGGAGGGUGCGAGCGUUAAUCGGAAUUACUGGGCGUAAAGCGCGCGUAGGCGGUCUGAUAAGCCGGUUGUGAAAGCCCCGGGCUCAACCUGGGAACGGCAUCCGGAACUGUCAGGCUAGAGUGCAGGAGAGGAAGGUAGAAUUCCCGGUGUAGCGGUGAAAUGCGUAGAGAUCGGGAGGAAUACCAGUGGCGAAGGCGGCCUUCUGGACUGACACUGACGCUGAGGUGCGAAAGCGUGGGUAGCAAACAGGAUUAGAUACCCCGGUAGUC
RNAcentral lists this ribosomal RNA (465 nucleotides) under Vreelandella stevensii. Its description in RNAcentral is "partial 16S ribosomal RNA". It matches the Rfam family "Bacterial small subunit ribosomal RNA", at positions 338 to 795 of the family's 1533-position model. Lineage: Bacteria; Pseudomonadati; Pseudomonadota; Gammaproteobacteria; Oceanospirillales; Halomonadaceae. The record is from RNAcentral.